This 58-nucleotide transfer RNA is filed under the name Actinomycetes bacterium. Its description in RNAcentral is "Actinobacteria bacterium tRNA-Val". It matches the Rfam family "tRNA", at positions 8 to 63 of the family's 71-position model. Rfam says of the family: Transfer RNA (tRNA) molecules are approximately 80 nucleotides in length. Their secondary structure includes four short double-helical elements and three loops (D, anti-codon, and T loops). Lineage: Bacteria; Bacillati; Actinomycetota; Actinomycetes. The record is from RNAcentral.
UAGCUCAGUUGGUAGAGCGCCUCGUUUACACCGAGGAUGUCGUCGGUUCGAGUCCGGC